Molecule: ribosomal RNA, 497 nt
Filed under: uncultured bacterium
Lineage: Bacteria
Description: partial 16S ribosomal RNA
Rfam family: Bacterial small subunit ribosomal RNA
Source: RNAcentral
GAUGAACGCUGGCGGCGUGCCUAAUACAUGCAAGUCGAGCGAACAGAUGAGGAGCUUGCUCCUCUGACGUUAGCGGCGGACGGGUGAGUAACACGUGGAUAACCUACCUAUAAGACUGGGAUAACUUCGGGAAACCGGAGCUAAUACCGGAUAAUAUAUUGAACCGCAUGGUUCAAUAGUGAAAGACGGCUUUGCUGUCACUUAUAGAUGGAUCCGCGCCGCAUUAGCUAGUUGGUAAGGUAACGGCUUACCAAGGCGACGAUGCGUAGCCGACCUGAGAGGCUGGUAGGCCACAUUGGAACUGAGACACGGACCAGAUUCCUACGGGAGGCAGCAGUAGGGAAUCUGCCGCAAUGGGCGAAAGCCUGACGGAGCAACGCCGCGUGAGUGAUGAAGGUCUUCGGAUCGUAAAACUCUGUUAUUAGGGAAGAACAAAUGUGUACGUAACUAUGCACGUCUUGACGGUACCUAAUCAGAAAGCCACGGCUAACUACGUG